AAAAAUUUUGAUCACAAACUUAUGGCCCUGGUUUAUGGAAGACUCGGAUGCAGAUCUCAGGUCAGAUGUUCUGAUUUGGAGCAAGGAUUGAGCCUUGGUUCUUCCUGCCACAGGCGGAUCCUCUCAGCAGCACUGAAACACUGUGGCUGGGUUGGGAGUGCUGCUGCCCAAGAAGUAUCAACUGUUUCCAAGUGUGAGAGCAGGAGGCACCUUUGAAGGCCAGGAGGGGGGACUCAGCGCAGCAGGUUAGUACUUCUCCCCCCGCAUGCACAUUCCCAAGGGGCUUGGGCUUGGAGCGAGUCCGGGAGGGAGGAGGAGGCACUUACCCGCCAAGCACAGGCAACCCAGCACCCACUAAGGGAGGCAAUGUAAUGAAGAGCAGAACUUGCUGUCUGGGGGUUUCACAAUUGGUUUGCAAAAUGGCUGUGAUUUUGCAUGAUGGCCCUACUAAACCAGAUAAAACUGCCCUUAGUGUUGCUGUAGGUUGAGAAGCAUUUUAAAGCUGUUGAGUUUCCAUGGCUGCUUUUCGCUUCUUAGCCUAGGGAAACGCAGAAGAUGAGAUGCUGCAAGGAGGUGUCCUGUGCCUAGGAGAGAAAGGAUGGGUACUACAAGGAGCCURGCCCAGAAGUGCCCCAGAGGGGCAAGGUCCUGCAGGAAUGACAGCUUAUUACAUUAUCUUUUCUGCUCAGUGGGGUGAACAAGCAGUCUUUCAAGAAAGCAGAGUGUAGGGACAUGGCCAGUCAGUUUUGCAAAGUGUUAUUGCUACCCUAAUUUAAAACAUUUAAUGAUUACCCAUCACUGUUCAAAAUGCAAGUAUCUCUGAAGUAUUAUUGAAGAAAUUGAAUGACAUAGAGCCAAAAUGCUUGGCAUUGCCAAAGAGGGAGAAUAAAAGCUUAUCAAACACCUAUUAGUAUUUCUAU
Molecule: long non-coding RNA, 920 nt
Filed under: Dromaius novaehollandiae (emu)
Lineage: Eukaryota; Metazoa; Chordata; Aves; Casuariiformes; Dromaiidae
Description: lncRNA (ENSDNVG00000012710.1)
Source: RNAcentral